RNAcentral lists this ribosomal RNA (509 nucleotides) under uncultured bacterium. RNAcentral describes it as "bacterial SSU rRNA". It matches the Rfam family "Bacterial small subunit ribosomal RNA", at positions 975 to 1482 of the family's 1533-position model. The record is from RNAcentral.
CUGGGUUUGACAUGGCCGCAAAACUGUCAGAGAUGGCAGGUCCUUCGGGGGCGGUCACAGGUGGUGCAUGGCUGUCGUCAGCUCGUGUCGUGAGAUGUUGGGUUAAGUCCCGCAACGAGCGCAACCCUUGUCCGAUGUUGCCAGCGCGUUAUGGCGGGGACUCAUCGGAGACUGCCGGGGUCAACUCGGAGGAAGGUGGGGAUGACGUCAAGUCAUCAUGCCCCUUAUGUCCAGGGCUUCACGCAUGCUACAAUGGCCGGUACAAAGGGCUGCGACACCGUAAGGUGGAGCGAAUCCCAAAAAGCCGGUCUCAGUUCGGAUCGGGGUCUGCAACUCGACCCCGUGAAGUCGGAGUCGCUAGUAAUCGCAGAUCAGCAACGCUGCGGUGAAUACGUUCCCGGGCCUUGUACACACCGCCCGUCACGUCACGAAAGUCGGCAACACCCGAAGCCGGUGGCCCAACCCCUUGUGGGAGGGAGCCGUCGAAGGUGGGGCUGGCGAUUGGGACG